Lutra lutra (Eurasian river otter) is the source of this 215-nucleotide long non-coding RNA. RefSeq lists it as uncharacterized. The record is from RefSeq and is a predicted model, not a curated record. NCBI's taxonomy places the organism in Eukaryota, Metazoa, Chordata, Mammalia, Carnivora, Mustelidae. The transcript is spliced from 3 exons.
GAAAGGAUGACCGCGCCAACAUGUAUCCUUUGACCAUGACUUGGUCUUUUGGAUGGAACAGUUCCCUUCCUGUUUACUACAUUCGAGAUGAAAACCAGCGAGUUCUUCUGUAUGUCUGUGUUCACACUGCGGUCAUCUACGAUGUCUUCAAGAAUACUCAGCACCAUCUUCAGAUCCUGGGUCUGUAGUCAUGAACAAAACAGAUCUAGCCCUCC